This 352-nucleotide long non-coding RNA is filed under the name Dasypus novemcinctus (nine-banded armadillo). RNAcentral's name for it is "lncRNA (ENSDNOG00000050854.1)". The record is from RNAcentral. Lineage: Eukaryota; Metazoa; Chordata; Mammalia; Cingulata; Dasypodidae.
CGCAACAGCCGCGGGAUACAAAGACUCCACGAAGCCUCCGCGUCCCCUGGAGGACCGCGUAGCCUCCCGCGCUCGGCGUCUGCGGAGCCUGCGCAGGGCGCCGCCGCGAGACGCGCCGCUCUCGGAACCGCAGGGCGGUGCCGCGCUACGCUGGGAGCAGGAGCAGGGAGCGCGCGCGGGCUGUCCAGCGCGCCCGCCUACCCAGCGCCGCGGCAGCAGGAGCGCCGCGCCGCACGCAGCUGGGCCGCUCCGCAGCCACAGCUGCAGCGUCAGCCACCGGAGCCCUUGCGAGCAGCAGGAGACCCACAGUGACGAGGACCAGGGCCUUGUGAGGCAGAAACCGAGGUUGUAA